CCCUGGUUAGCUCAGUUGGUAGAGAGCUUCACUGGAAAUGGAGAGGUCCCGGGUUCGAUACCCGGACCAGGCG
Molecule: transfer RNA, 73 nt
Filed under: Ixodes scapularis (black-legged tick)
Lineage: Eukaryota; Metazoa; Arthropoda; Arachnida; Ixodida; Ixodidae
Rfam family: tRNA
About the family: Transfer RNA (tRNA) molecules are approximately 80 nucleotides in length. Their secondary structure includes four short double-helical elements and three loops (D, anti-codon, and T loops).
Source: Rfam by way of RNAcentral